CUUACAGAGGGUUGUGAGCCUCCAGGUGGGUAUUGGGAGUUGAACCUGGGUGUGUGUAAGUGUUCUUAACUGCUGAGCC
This 79-nucleotide microRNA precursor is filed under the name Mus spretus (western wild mouse). RNAcentral describes it as "predicted gene, 54945 (ENSMSPG00010006190.1)". The record is from RNAcentral. Lineage: Eukaryota; Metazoa; Chordata; Mammalia; Rodentia; Muridae.